GAUGAAGAACGUAGCGAAAUGCGAUAAGUAAUGUGAAUUGCAGAAUUCAGUGAAUCAUCGAAUCUUUGAACGCACAUUGCACCCCUUGGUAUUCCGAGGGGCAUGCCUGUUCGAGCGUCAUUAUAACCCCUCAAGCUCAGCUUGGUGUUGGGGCCUGCUGCACUGGCAGCCCUUAAAAUCAGUGGCGGCGCCAUCUGGCUCUAAGCGUAGUAAUUCUUCUCGCUAUGGAGUCCUGGUGGAUGCUUGCCAUCAACCCCCAAUUUUUCUAUGGUUGACCUCGGAUCAGGUAGGGAUACCCGCUGAACUUAAGCAUAUCAAUAAGCGGAGGA
This 329-nucleotide unclassified non-coding RNA is filed under the name soil metagenome. Its description in RNAcentral is "partial contains 5.8S ribosomal RNA, internal transcribed spacer 2, and large subunit ribosomal RNA". The stretch from base 1 to 120 matches the Rfam family "5.8S ribosomal RNA", at positions 35 to 154 of the family's 154-position model. The record is from RNAcentral.